UACGGGGGGGGUAAGCGUUGUUCGGAAUUACUGGGCGUAAAGGGCUCGUAGGCGGCCAACUAAGUCAUACGUGAAAUCCCUCAGCUUAACUGGGGAACUGCGUGUGAUACUGGAUGGCUUGGAUUUGGGAGAGGGAUGCGGAAUUCCAGGUGUAGCGGUGAAAUGCGUAGAUAUCUGGAGGAACACCGGUGGCGAAGGCGGCAUCCUGGACCGAUAUUGACGCUGAUGCGCGAAAGCGUGGGGAGCGAACAGG
This 253-nucleotide ribosomal RNA is filed under the name uncultured bacterium. RNAcentral describes it as "partial 16S ribosomal RNA". It matches the Rfam family "Bacterial small subunit ribosomal RNA", at positions 524 to 776 of the family's 1533-position model. The record is from RNAcentral.